Molecule: non-coding RNA, 762 nt
Organism: Dama dama (fallow deer)
Lineage: Eukaryota; Metazoa; Chordata; Mammalia; Artiodactyla; Cervidae
Source: the annotation of a RefSeq genome assembly
UUCUUCACGUUACGAGUCAUGAAUGUUCUUCAGGAGACACUCCAGAGAUGAUCUCUUCUCCAGGAUUAGUGACUGUGAUACUCUUCCUGCUGGGACAAACCCGUGGAGCUUCAGUGAGCCAGAUGGAUGGCCAAGUGACCCUUUUGGAAGGGGCUACCUUGACUGUGAACUGUACUUAUUCAGACACCACGUACCCCACUCUUUUCUGGUAUGUCCAGUAUCCUGGAGAAGGUCCAGAGCUCCUCCUGAAAGCCACGAAGGCUAACGACAAGGAAACCAACAAAGGUUUUGAAGCCACAUACAAUGCAAAAACCACCUCCUUCCACUUGGAGAAAGCCUCAGUCCAGGAGUCAGACUCGGCUGUGUACUACUGCGCUCUGGGUGACACAGUGACAGGAACUGCAGGGGGAGCUGAGCGCAAACUCUGAGCAGCGACGGGGCCUGGAUGCACUGUGGUUCCCACAGAGCCUGUGGUUGUGUGUCUCUUAGUCUCUGGUUGAUACUAAAAACGUACAAAUGGCUAAAGCAUAAGAAUAAGAAGAGAAUAUUCCCCAUACCCAACUCUUUACUAGUGAAACUGCAAACUCUGACACCAGUAGUUCCUUUUCCAGGGUCAAAGUAAUUUCAAGGUAAAACCACAUAAGUAAUGAAGUGGUGUUUUGCAUAUUCUUGCAAAAUCCUGCUUCCACAAGUUGUUCCAAGUCACCCAGGUGGGUAUUGCUAUGUCUUACUAUACUUUCAUAGAACCAAAGUGUGCCAGAU